UACGUAGGGGGCAAGCGUUGUCCGGAAUCACUGGGCUUAAAGGGCGCGUAGGCGGGCAUCAUAGUCAGGGGUGAAAUCCUCCAGCUCAACUGGAGAAGUGCCUCUGAUACUGGGUGCCUCGAGGGGUGCAGGGGCGUGCGGAACUUCCGGUGGAGCGGUGAAAUGCGUAGAUAUCGUUUGGAACGCCAAUGGUGAAAACAGGUUGCUGGGAGUGUGCUGACGCUGAGACACGAAAGCCAGGGGAGCGAACGGG
RNAcentral lists this ribosomal RNA (253 nucleotides) under uncultured bacterium. Its description in RNAcentral is "partial 16S ribosomal RNA". It matches the Rfam family "Bacterial small subunit ribosomal RNA", at positions 524 to 776 of the family's 1533-position model. The record is from RNAcentral.